Molecule: unclassified non-coding RNA, 429 nt
Filed under: uncultured Pseudoalteromonas sp.
Lineage: Bacteria; Pseudomonadati; Pseudomonadota; Gammaproteobacteria; Alteromonadales; Pseudoalteromonadaceae
Description: partial 16S-23S ribosomal RNA intergenic spacer
Rfam family: Bacterial large subunit ribosomal RNA (bases 305-429)
Source: RNAcentral
CCUCCUUAUACGAUUUAGAACUUAUUUGUUCGUAGUGUCCACACAGAUGAUUGUUAGUUAGUUUUACCCUUUGGGUUAACUAAUUAAUAUGCUCUUUAAAAAUUUGGAAAGCUGAUAAUAAAAUUCGUAUGAAUAACAUUGUUAUUUAUACAGGGUUUUCAAAAGUAAAAAAGAAUGAUAGCAGUAUCAUUCAGUGCCAUUUAAUCACUCUUAUGAGUCGAUUGAUUGGUAUCUACUUUAGUAUUCAAUAUUAACUUCUGGCGAAGUUAAACUGUCACAAAACAAAGACCCGUUUGGGUUGUAUGGUUAAGUGACUAAGCGUACACGGUGGAUGCCUUGGCAGUUGGAGGCGAUGAAGGACGUAUUAACUUGCGAUAAGCCUAGUCAAGCUAGUAAAAAGCACUUGAGACUAGGAUUUCCGAAUGGGGA